CAGAUCCCCAGCCCUAUAAACCUGCAGUCCUACAGAUCCCUGGCUCUGCAGAGCCUGGUCCUGUGGACCGAGCACAGUACGGAUGGAGGGGAGGUCUGGGUGAGGGGGGCGCCCUUGGGAGACGCACAGACGGCACACGGCCAGCAAGCUGAGGUGAGUUUGGAGUAGGGGUCCUCCUCUUUCGGAGACCGAAAUAGUUACCGAAGAACGCAGCUGAUGUCAGGGACUGGCUUCAAAAUCACCGGGUGCGGGGGCGUGGGCUGGCCUCUGGCUGGAACGGGGUUGGCUGUGGGCUGGUCCCUGUGGCCCCAGGCAGAACACGACCUUUGCUGCGCUGUGUCUGAGCCUUCCCAUAAUAAGAACAUCAACAACAGCAGAAUCUCAUGGCCAAACCCAUGGGAAACCCCUUCUCUGGAAGCUCACCCCCACCCCCAGGGUCUCCCUGCUCCCUAAGACCUGCCGGAUAGUGGGGUCUUUGCUUUGGAGAUGAGUGAGUGCCGCUGCCAGGUGUGCAGGGGAACAGCACCAUGGGUGCUUUGUGAAGCGGGGACCACCAUAAAGAAAGCGGGAGGUUCCUGAGAUGGGUGGAGGAACAGCCACACCCUCCUCUCUUCUCUCCAGCGCUUCUCCCCUGGCAGGUGCCCUCCCCACCCCACGACCACCAUUAAUGCUGAAAUCCAAGACCCUGGGCUCGAGGACGCAGAACGACUCGUGGUUUGCAAAGUGUGGCACCCCCAGACGCUCCAGCAUCCGCGUGGUCUGGGAACUGACUUCGUUAGAAAUGCAGUUUCCUGGGCCCACCCAAGGCCUCCUGAGUCAGAAACAAUCUGUGCCUUAAGAGAGGCCUCGGGGGGAUUCUGGGGCCUGGUAAAGUUUGGGAACUGCUGGUCUACACCAUGAGGAGAAACGCUGGACCCGGCCUAAGAAGAGGCCCUCCCUCCUGUCUGACAAUGAGCCAUGAGAAGACCAUGGGAAAAAAAAGAGGCCACCAGAAACCCUAUUGCCGAGGUCCUGGCAAGGAAGAAAAGGACAGAAGAGCUAAUUUCCCUACAAGAACACGGGUCUAGGAAACAGAAAAUAAAGGAAGCUUCCAUUUCAUGGGCAGAGACAUCUCGGCAAAUAGGCUGAGCCCAUGUCCCCAGAGCUCUGAGUAAUUAAAUUUUGAGAAAAGUG
Molecule: long non-coding RNA, 1173 nt
Filed under: Homo sapiens (human)
Lineage: Eukaryota; Metazoa; Chordata; Mammalia; Primates; Hominidae
Description: HSALNT0355329
Source: RNAcentral